CCUGGUUGAUCCUUCCAGUUGUCAUUUUCUUGUGUCAAAGAUUAAGCCAUGCAUGUGUACGUAUGAACAAAUUCAUACUGUGAAACUGUGAAUGCCUCAUUAAAUUAGUUAUAGUUUGUUUUGAUGGUAUCUAAUACUCUGAUAACCAUAGUAAUUGAAGAGCCAGUACGUGCAACUAUCCCUAACUUCUGGAAGGGAUGUAUUUAUUAGAUAAAGGGUCAAUGUGGUCUCUUUCCAUUGCUUCGAUGAUUCAUAAUAACUCGAAGAAACGCAUGGCCAUCGUAUUGGCGAUGCAUUAUUUAAAUUCUGCCAUACAAACUUUCGAUGGUAGGAUAGUGGCCUACCAUGGUGGUGAUGGUGACAGAGAAUUAGGGUUCAAUUCUAGAGAGGGAUCCUGAGAAACAACUACCACAUCCAAGAAAGGGAGCAGGCACACAAAUUACCCAAUCCAGAUACGGGGAGGUAGUGAUAAUAAAUAAAACUACCAGGCUCACUAAGUCUGGUAUUUGGAAUGAGUACAAUCUAAAUCCCUUAACGAGGAUCCAUUGGAGGGCAAGUCUGGUGCCAGCAUCCGUGGUAAUUCCAACUUCAAUAGCUUAUAUUCAAGUUAUUGCAGUUAAAAAGCUCAUAGUUAGACUUUGGGAUGGGCUGGCCGGUCCGCUUAUCGUGUGCACCGGUCAUAUCGUCCCUUCUAUCAGCAAUGCACUCCUAGCCUUAACUGGCCGGGUUGUGCCUCUGGCGCUGUCACUUUGACGAAAUUAGAGUUCUCAAAGAAAGCCUACUCUCUGUAUACAUUAGCAUUGGAUAACAUUCUAGGAUUUCAAUCCUAUUACGUUGGCCUUCGGGAUUGAAUUAAUGAUUAAUAAGGACAAUUGAGGGCAUUCGUAUAUCAUAGUUAGAGGUGAAAUUCUUGGAUUUAUGUAAGAUGAACAACUGCGAAAGCAUUUGCCCAAGAUAUUUUCGUUAAUCAAAAAUAAAAAUAUGAGGCUAAAAGAUAAUCAGAUACCGUCCUAGUCUUAACCAUAAACGAUCCCGACCAGGGAUCGACAGAUGUUGCUCUUAGGACUUUGUCGGCACCUUAUGAGAAAUCAAAGUUCGUGGGUUACUAAGGAAGUAUGGUCGUAAGGCUGAAACUUAAAGGAAUUAACGGAAGGGCACCACCAUGAGUGGGGCCUGCGACUCAAUUUGACUCAACACGGGGAAACUUACCAGGUCCAGACAUAGUAAGGAUUAAUAGACUAAGAGUUGUUUCUUGAUUUUAUGGGUGGUGUUGCAUGGAUGUAAUUAGUUAGUGGAGCAAUUUGUCUGGUUAAUUCCGUUAACGAACGAGACCUCAGCCUACUAACUAGCUAUGCGGAGGUAACCCUUCACGGCUAGCUUCUUAGAGGUACUAUAGCCUUUUAGGCCGUGAAAGUUUAAGGUAAUAACAAGUCUGUGAUGCCCCUAGAUGUUUUGGGCCAAACGCGUACUACACUGAUGUAUUCAACGAGUCCUGGGUAAUCUUUAAAAUUUUAUUGUGAUGGGAAUAGAUCAUUGCAAUUGUUGGUCUUCAACAAGGAAUUCCUAGUAAGCGCGAGUCAUCAGUUCGCAUUGACUACGUCCAUGCCCUUUGUACACACUGCCCGUCACUCCUACCGAUUAAAUAAUCCGAUGAAAUAUUUCGAUCAUGACAACGUAGGCGUUUUGUUGCCCGUGACAUUGUGAGAAGUCCAUUGAACCUUAUUAUUUAGAGAAAGGAGAAGUCGUAACAAGGUUUCCUAGGUGAACCUGUGGAAG
This 1776-nucleotide ribosomal RNA is filed under the name Capsicum baccatum. RNAcentral describes it as "SSU rRNA". It matches the Rfam family "Eukaryotic small subunit ribosomal RNA". Lineage: Eukaryota; Viridiplantae; Streptophyta; Magnoliopsida; Solanales; Solanaceae. The record is from RNAcentral.